CCUACGGGUGGCUGCAGUGGGGAAUAUUGGACAAUGGGCGCAAGCCUGAUCCAGCAAUACCGCGUGUGUGAAGAAGGCCUUAGGGUUGUAAAGCACUUUCAAUGGGGAGGAAAACCUACCGGUCAAUACCCGGUAGCUUGACAUUACCUGUAGAAGAAGCACCGGCUAACUCCGUGCCAGCAGCCGCGGUAAUACGGAGCGUAAUUACGUUAAUCGGAAUUUCUGUGCGCGAAUCGUUAAGUCACAUGUCAAAGCCCCGGGCUUAACCUGGGAACUGCAUUUGAAACUGGCGGACUAGAGUUGAGUAGAGGGGAGUGGAAUUUCAGGUGUAGCGGUGAAAUGCGUAGAUAUCUGAAGGAACACCAGUGGCGAAGGCGACUCCCUGGACUCAAACUGACGCUGAGGUACGAAAGCGUGGGUAGCAAACAGGAUUAGAUACCCUGGUAGUC
RNAcentral lists this ribosomal RNA (449 nucleotides) under uncultured bacterium. RNAcentral's name for it is "partial 16S ribosomal RNA". It matches the Rfam family "Bacterial small subunit ribosomal RNA", at positions 338 to 795 of the family's 1533-position model. The record is from RNAcentral.